This 645-nucleotide ribosomal RNA is filed under the name uncultured bacterium. Its description in RNAcentral is "bacterial SSU rRNA". It matches the Rfam family "Bacterial small subunit ribosomal RNA", at positions 188 to 851 of the family's 1533-position model. The record is from RNAcentral.
CAUCGGGUAGAGGGAAAAGGAGCAAUCCGCUUUGAGAUGGCCUCGCGUCCGAUUAGCUAGUUGGUGAGGUAACGGCCCACCAAGGCGACGAUCGGUAGCCGGACUGAGAGGUUGAACGGCCACAUUGGGACUGAGACACGGCCCAGACUCCUACGGGAGGCAGCAGUGGGGAAUAUUGCACAAUGGGGGAAACCCUGAUGCAGCGACGCCGCGUGGAGGAAGAAGGUCUUCGGAUUGUAAACUCCUGUUGUUGAGGAAGAUAAUGACGGUACUCAACAAGGAAGUGACGGCUAACUACGUGCCAGCAGCCGCGGUAAAACGUAGGUCACAAGCGUUGUCCGGAAUUACUGGGUGUAAAGGGAGCGCAGGCGGGAAGACAAGUUGGAAGUGAAAUCCAUGGGCUCAACCCAUGAACUGCUUUCAAAACUGUUUUUCUUGAGUAGUGCAGAGGUAGGCGGAAUUCCCGGUGUAGCGGUGGAAUGCGUAGAUAUCGGGAGGAACACCAGUGGCGAAGGCGGCCUACUGGGCACCAACUGACGCUGAGGCUCGAAAGUGUGGGUAGCAAACAGGAUUAGAUACCCUGGUAGUCCACACCGUAAACGAUGAAUACUAGGUGUUGGAGGAUUGACCCCUUCAGUGCCGCAG